AGCUGCGGUCAUACGUACUGGAAAGCACCGGAUCCCGUCCGAUCUCCGAAGUUAAACCUGUAACGGCACGGUCAGUACUGUGGUGGGAGACCAC
Molecule: non-coding RNA, 94 nt
Organism: Amphiamblys sp. WSBS2006
Lineage: Eukaryota; Fungi; Microsporidia; Amphiacanthidae
Source: Rfam